RNAcentral lists this unclassified non-coding RNA (479 nucleotides) under Hevea brasiliensis (rubber tree). Lineage: Eukaryota; Viridiplantae; Streptophyta; Magnoliopsida; Malpighiales; Euphorbiaceae. The record is from RNAcentral.
AUAUAAAAUAGAGCAAGAUUCAUCUAGUAGGCACAGAAAGUGAUAGAAGUACUUGCACCAGGUGCUGGUACUUAAAUGCGGAACCCUACAACAAAGGAACUAGAUGUGAGGUACUGUAGCAAGGGAGCUAAUACCCGGGGGAGUUAUUAGGUACUUGAGUACCAACAGGUAGCUACGAACCAGAAGGAGAAUCUAAUGCCAUCUCUACUAGCAUAAAUAAUAAGGGAUAUGUCAAAUAUGCAUUUCUAACAACAAUUAAGUAAGAAACACAGGUACCAAUAUGCAAUUCAAUACACAAAUGCUUAUGAUCAUAUUGCAGUAAGUGCAGGUACCUGAGCAUCAAACAGGUACUUAUGAAUUUCUCAAAUCUAAUAAAAAUCAACAAGACCCAUUCAAGUGUUUGAUUACUCCACGACAAAAUUAGCGUCAAAAAGGAAAUAGAAGGUUGGAUAGUUACCAAAAUCAAGAGCAAUAAAUGU